Molecule: long non-coding RNA, 2500 nt
Filed under: Eutrema salsugineum
Lineage: Eukaryota; Viridiplantae; Streptophyta; Magnoliopsida; Brassicales; Brassicaceae
Description: long non-coding RNA (ESAL_LNC002067)
Source: RNAcentral
UUUCUCUAUUUUCUCAUUCUUUCUCCUUCUUCGUUUUCUCCGUACGCGAGGAUUACUUCUUCGUUCUCUGCAUCUCGACGACACCGUGGGCUUCGCCGAUUGAUCCCGACUGAGGCGGUGAUGGAAGCGCCGGAGUUUAGAGUAUGGAUGGGAUUCGUCUUCUCAAUCGCUGGAGGUAAGCGAUUCAUCUUCUCAAUCUAUUUUGAUGCUGUUUCUUCUCAAUCAUUGAUCGAUGCAUGAUCUAGGGUUACUGAUCAAUGCAUGAUUUUGGGUUUAGAUUUUUGUUUGCAUCAUGAAAUUUCGAUUCUGUUUUGGUUGAAAAAUUGCUUCAGAAUCGAUCCGAUUUGGUCCUUGUCCUGAUCGGUUUUACUUGUUUAAACUAUGCUAUUGCGUUCCUUGGAGAGUAGGUUUGAUGUUGAUUAACUAUGUUUUUGCUUGAUGUUUCUUAGUCAAAUUUGAAGGUUUAAUGCGUGUGCUUUAUACUGAUAGUGCGUGUGCUUACAUAGAUUGUUGGUGUAUUUCUUUGAUCUUUUUAAUAAUGGAUGGCUGUGGAGUUAGUUUUGAGUAGUUUUUAAUAUGAGGUAGCUGAGAGUUAAGUGUUUGUAUUGAAGUUGGUUUGGUUCUAUAUUUAAUGGUAAUCUUUUUUUUUCCCUUGCACGAGGAGAGAAUAUUGGGGAAUAAAAUCAAGAGGAGAGAAGAAGGACAGCGGUUUAAAGGCAUCAUCAGCUUCUCACAAAAAGGUCAGCUUCAUAUUUCAUUCCUCUCAGCUUUUAAUAAAUGAAAGUUAGGAUUAGGUUAUGGUAGUUUAGAGAGUUUAUGGUUUAGUGUUUAAGGCGAUGUAGAUAUAUGUCAAGUCAGACUAGUUGUGGUGAAUGCUUGUAUUUGGUUUGGGUUGUGAUGAAUGCUUUGUCUUGAAUGCAAGUGAUGAAUGGUUGCUUUUACUGUGUCUUUAUUCUCUGCUCUUCCAUGCUCUUUACUUCAUUCUCCUCUUCUAUUUAAACCUUGUUUAAAGAGAACACUUCCAUCUUCUUUCACUCUUCUCGUACUUGUCUUUUUAAAAAUACAAGUCUUCUCAAUCUUCGAUAUCUUCUUCCAUUCUUCUCCUCCUAAAUGUCUACUACAUAUCCCUUUAACCAACCCUCAAACUUUGUUGACCUCUUGCAUAGCCAGCAAGAGACUGUGGCAACCUAUCCCAAUCCAUUCCCAUCACUAGAACUCCCUGUAUUCAGCACCCAAACUUCCCCUGAAGAUCAAGGAGCAUUCGAUGAUGAGCCGACCAAGGAGCCUGCACAUCGUCGAGAAAGAAGAUCAUGGAAUCCUGCAGAUGAUACUCUGCUCAUAAGCGCAUGGUUAAAUACAAGUAAAGACCCUGUUAUAGGCAAUGAACAGAAUUUGGGUGCCUUUUGGGAUCGCAUAGCUACAUACUAUGCGGCUUCUCAUACAAGUGGUGAUGUUCGAGGGCCAGGUCAGUGUAAACAGCGCUGGCACAAGAUCAAUGAUCUUGUCUGUAAAUUCGUUGGAGCUUAUGACGCAGCAACAAGGGCAAAAGGAAGCGGUCACAAUGAGACUGACGUUCUUAAGCAGGCGCAUGCUAUAUUCUAUAAUGACCAUAACAAGAAAUUUACCCUGGAGCAUUGUUGGAAGGAGCUUAGGAAUGAUCAGAAGUGGUGCGAAACUUUGACCACUCAACCGAUAGACCCUGCAAACAGAGGAAAGCUGACAAUGGUGGACCAUCCGAAGUUGAUGGAAACAAGGACGCCAAAGCUGAUCAGGCUAACAUCCGACCUCCUGGAGUGAAAGCCGCAAAAGCCAAAGGGAAGAAGGCAUCAAUGGUGGAGGGGAAGUCUUUGAACGAGUUUAGUUCCAUGUGGGCUGUUAAAGAGAGGGAUAUGGUUCUGAAGAAGGAAAUCACGGCAAUGGGACUCAUGGACUCUAUAUUCGCAAAAAAAGAACCACUCACGGCGACUGAAGAAGCCUUGAAGCAAAAGCUCAUAAAUCAAUUGUUGGGUAAUUAGGUUGUUUGUGUUUUAAGUUUAUGUGUGUCUGUCAUGUCCAAUCUAUGUUAUGUUAUGUUGUUUGUGUUUUAAGUUAUGUUGUGUCUGUGUCAAGUUUAAUGGAUCGAGUUUUUUCAAACUCUUUAAUGUUGUGUACUGCUUUGUAAUGGUUUGUUGUUUAAUGAAAUAUUAUUCUCUUGACUUUGGAGCUUCAGAUUUCACGGGUUAUUGGAAGAGACAUAAAGACAACUGAAUGAAAUCGAUAUUCACGGGUUACUCAAAGGAGUGGAGUACAACAAGCCAGGCAAAACCGUAGGGACCCCUCUUUGAGUGGAAAUCAAAGUAAUGGAGUACAAGAAGCAGUGUGUUUGUUUUUUUGUGUAGUUUGGGUCCAUAUGUAUGACACCACAUGUAGGGUAAUUGAUUCAUUACCACAAAACUCAUUCUCCUUUGUUGUAUAUAUACGUAAACUUGGAAGUUUAGAAACUCAUUCUCCAUCUUUCUUC